Molecule: transfer RNA, 73 nt
Rfam family: tRNA
About the family: Transfer RNA (tRNA) molecules are approximately 80 nucleotides in length. Their secondary structure includes four short double-helical elements and three loops (D, anti-codon, and T loops).
Source: Rfam
GGCACAUUGAUGAAGUUGGUUAUCAUACUUGCCUUCCAAGCAAGAUUCCCGGAUUCGAAUUCCGGAUGUGUCA